GGUUAAGUUAGAAAGGGCGCACGGUGGAUGCCUUGGCACUAGGAGCCGAUGAAGGACGGGACGAACACCGAUAUGCUUCGGGGAGCUGUAAGCAAGCUUUGAUCCGGAGAUUUCCGAAUGGGGAAACCCACCACUCGUAAUGGAGUGGUAUCCAUAUCUGAAUACAUAGGAUAUGAGAAGGCAGACCCGGGGAACUGAAACAUCUAAGUACCCGGAGGAAGAGAAAGCAAAUGCGAUUCCCUGAGUAGCGGCGAGCGAAACGGGACCAGCCCAAACCAAGAGGCUUGCCUCUUGGGGUUGUAGGACACUCUGUACGGAGUUACAAAGGAACGAGGUAGAUGAAGAGGUCUGGAAAGGCCCGCCAUAGGAGGUAACAGCCCUGUAGUCAAAACUUCGUUCUCUCCUGAGUGGAUCCUGAGUACGGCGGAACACGUGAAAUUCCGUCGGAAUCCGGGAGGACCAUCUCCCAAGGCUAAAUACUCCCUAGUGACCGAUAGUGAACCAGUACCGUGAGGGAAAGGUGAAAAGCACCCCGGAAGGGGAGUGAAAGAGAUCCUGAAACCGUGUGCCUACAAGUAGUCAGAGCCCGUUAACGGGUGAUGGCGUGCCUUUUGUAGAAUGAACCGGCGAGUUACGAUCCCGUGCAAGGUUAAGCAGAAGAUGCGGAGCCGCAGCGAAAGCGAGUCUGAAUAGGGCGAAUUGAGUACGUGGUCGUAGACCCGAAACCAGGUGAUCUACCCAUGUCCAGGGUGAAGUUCAGGUAACACUGAAUGGAGGCCCGAACCCACGCACGUUGAAAAGUGCGGGGAUGAGGUGUGGGUAGGGGUGAAAUGCCAAUCGAACCUGGAGAUAGCUGGUUCUCUCCGAAAUAGCUUUAGGGCUAGCCUCAAGGUAAGAGUCUCGGAGGUAGAGCACUGAUUGGACUAGGGGCCCUACCGGGUUACCGAAUUCAGUCAAACUCCGAAUGCCGAUGACUUAUCCUUGGGAGUCAGACUGCGAGUGAUAAGAUCCGUAGUCGAAAGGGAAACAGCCCAGACCGCCAGCUAAGGUCCCAAAGUAUACGUUAAGUGGAAAAGGAUGUGGAGUUGCUUAGACAACCAGGAUGUUGGCUUAGAAGCAGCCACCAUUUAAAGAGUGCGUAAUAGCUCACUGGUCGAGUGACUCUGCGCCGAAAAUGUACCGGGGCUAAACGUAUCACCGAAGCUGCGGACUGUUCUUCGAACAGUGGUAGGAGAGCGUUCUAAGGGCUGUGAAGCAAGACCGGAAGGACUUGUGGAGCGCUUAGAAGUGAGAAUGCCGGUAUGAGUAGCGAAAGAGGGGUGAGAAUCCCCUCCACCGAAUGCCUAAGGUUUCCUGAGGAAGGCUCGUCCGCUCAGGGUUAGUCGGGACCUAAGCCGAGGCCGAAAGGCGUAGGCGAUGGAUAACAGGUUGAUAUUCCUGUACCACCUCCUCACCAUUUGAGCAAUGGGGGGACGCAGGAGGAUAGGGUAAGCGCGGUAUUGGAUAUCCGCGUCCAAGCAGUUAGGCUGGGAAAUAGGCAAAUCCGUUUCCCGCGAAGGCUGAGCUGUGAUGGCGAGCGAAUUAUAGUAGCGAAGUUCCUGAUUCCACACUGCCAAGAAAAGCCUCUAGCGAGGUGAGAGGUGCCCGUACCGCAAACCGACACAGGUAGGCGAGGAGAGAAUCCUAAGGUGAUCGAGAGAACUCUCGUUAAGGAACUCGGCAAAAUGACCCCGUAACUUCGGGAGAAGGGGUGCUCUGUUAGGGUGCAAGCCCGAGAGAGCCGCAGUGAAUAGGCCCAGGCGACUGUUUAGCAAAAACACAGGUCUCUGCGAAGCCGUAAGGCGAAGUAUAGGGGCUGACGCCUGCCCGGUGCUGGAAGGUUAAGAGGAGCGCUUAGCGUAAGCGAAGGUGCGAAUUGAAGCCCCAGUAAACGGCGGCCGUAACUAUAACGGUCCUAAGGUAGCGAAAUUCCUUGUCGGGUAAGUUCCGACCCGCACGAAAGGCGCAACGAUCUGGGCACUGUCUCAACGAGAGACUCGGUGAAAUUAUAGUACCUGUGAAGAUGCAGGUUACCCGCGACAGGACGGAAAGACCCCGUGGAGCUUUACUGCAGCCUGAUAUUGAAUGUUGGUACAGCUUGUACAGGAUAGGUAGGAGCCUUGGAAACCGGAGCGCCAGCUUCGGUGGAGGCAUCGGUGGGAUACUACCCUGGCUGUAUUGACCUUCUAACCCGCCGCCCUUAUCGGGCGGGGAGACAGUGUCAGGUGGGCAGUUUGACUGGGGCGGUCGCCUCCUAAAAGGUAACGGAGGCGCCCAAAGGUUCCCUCAGAAUGGUUGGAAAUCAUUCGCAGAGUGUAAAGGCACAAGGGAGCUUGACUGCGAGACCUACAAGUCGAGCAGGGACGAAAGUCGGGCUUAGUGAUCCGGUGGUUCCGCAUGGAAGGGCCAUCGCUCAACGGAUAAAAGCUACCCCGGGGAUAACAGGCUUAUCUCCCCAAGAGUCCACAUCGACGGGGAGGUUUGGCACCUCGAUGUCGGCUCAUCGCAUCCUGGGGCUGUAGUCGGUCCCAAGGGUUGGGCUGUUCGCCCAUUAAAGCGGUACGCGAGCUGGGUUCAGAACGUCGUGAGACAGUUCGGUCCCUAUCCGUCGCGGGCGCAGGAAAUUUGAGAGGAGCUGUCCUUAGUACGAGAGGACCGGGAUGGACGCACCGCUGGUGUACCAGUUGUUCUGCCAAGGGCAUCGCUGGGUAGCUAUGUGCGGACGGGAUAAGUGCUGAAAGCAUCUAAGCAUGAAGCCCCCCUCAAGAUGAGAUUUCCCAUUCCGCAAGGAAGUAAGAUCCCUGAAAGAUGAUCAGGUUGAUAGGUCUGAGGUGGAAGUGUGGCGACACAUGGAGCUGACAGAUACUAAUCGAUCGAGGACUUAACCAA
RNAcentral lists this ribosomal RNA (2928 nucleotides) under Bacillus velezensis. RNAcentral describes it as "23S ribosomal RNA". It matches the Rfam family "Bacterial large subunit ribosomal RNA". Lineage: Bacteria; Bacillati; Bacillota; Bacilli; Caryophanales; Bacillaceae. The record is from RNAcentral.